GGGUCGUUAGCUCAAUUGGUAGAGCGCGCGCUUUGCAUGCGCGAGGUAGCGGGGUCGAAACCUGCACGAUCCA
This 73-nucleotide transfer RNA is filed under the name Ostreococcus tauri. It matches the Rfam family "tRNA". From Rfam's summary of the family: Transfer RNA (tRNA) molecules are approximately 80 nucleotides in length. Their secondary structure includes four short double-helical elements and three loops (D, anti-codon, and T loops). Further hydrogen bonds mediate the characteristic L-shaped molecular structure. tRNAs have two regions of fundamental functional importance: the anti-codon, which is responsible for specific mRNA codon recognition, and the 3' end, to which the tRNAs corresponding amino acid is attached (by aminoacyl-tRNA synthetases). tRNAs cope with the degeneracy of the genetic code in two manners: having more than one tRNA (with a specific anti-codon) for a particular amino acid; and 'wobble' base-pairing, i.e. permitting non-standard base-pairing at the 3rd anti-codon position. Lineage: Eukaryota; Viridiplantae; Chlorophyta; Mamiellophyceae; Mamiellales; Bathycoccaceae. The record is from Rfam by way of RNAcentral.